UUGCGCGUUUGCGGUGUUGAUGCUUGGAGCAUUCCGGCGAGUUCGUGUACGCUGUUCGCUUGAAAGCUUCCUGCUUUUCUGCGUUCUUUGUGUGCUUCGCUGUGACAUCUUUGGAAUAUUCCUGCGUGUUGCUCGCUUUUUAUGGGCUUGUUGCCUCGAAGAUCGCCAUUAUCGCCUCCGACUCAGCGACAUCAACGAUUCAAAGUGAGCUGGGAGACGCCCCAGCCGGAACGCUAAAGGUUCACAUAGGCUGUAAGAGUGCACAUUCAGAAGGUUAUCCUGGCCCAGCUUACUAUGGCCUGCCAUGGUGGACCAGGAAAGUUUGCAAGGGCCUUGCUUCACCAUGUGUUCACAGAGGAGGAGCUCAUGGGCCAUUUGGGCUUUGGAAAUAACACCAAGGGGCAACAGAGGCUCUUGACCCCAUCAGGGUCAGUGCUGUUAUAGGCUUCACGUGUCGCAAAUUUCCUGGUACCAACAUGCCCUAUGUAAAGAACUCUGGCCUCGCUUCUCGCAUGGGACCCUGCCCGUGAAGCAACUGCCCCUGCCCCUUCACCUCUGAAGAGCCCAAGUUGGACAGCUCAAACCAAAACACAAGUGUUGUGCUCUUGUAACUCUCGACAUUCUUAUGUUUUAUGUUAGUCUCCUGAGGGACCCAAUUUGGAUUUCUCAUAUGAGCAUACAAAUGUUGUGCCUUUCUAUGGCUUGACAUUUUUAUGUUAAUAUUUAUGUUAAUUAUGCUAGUCUCCUGAGAAGCCCACAUUGGAUUGCUCAAUCCAGAAUACAAGUGCUGUGCUUUGUUAUAGUUCACUACAUUUUUAUGUUAGUUUUUGAUAUGGUUCCAUUAAGGAUAGUGUUUCCUUAUUAAUAUAUUUUUUAAGUAUCUUAAGUCAUUUCAUGCCAAACCACCCAACAAUUUUUUCAAGAACUGUUCCAUUAUGGCAAACCAUUUCAAGUUUGCUUGAUUUUGAGUAGGUACAGCGAGAAAAUGUUCGAGAAAAUUUGCUUUCAUACAUACUCUUAAGUCAUUACAGGGCAACCAACCAGCGUUUUUUUGGCCAUCACAGAUAUAGUUGAAGCUUCGAACUCUUGCUCCCCAUUUAAUUUCCUUCACAAAAAUUUUUUUGAAUUUUGGCAAAAAUUUAUUGUUCUUGCCCAGCUAAGCUAGAAGCCACUGAUACACGUUUCUUCUGAAAGGGAAAUUGUAUGAUCCAGAUAUUCAGAUGGUGUUCAUGUCAAGAGACUGAAGUGGUGACUGCCAAAAUUUGCAAAGUUUGAAUUUUCUUCUAACGUAGGGAAAUACAGAAGGCACAAAAUGAAUAUAAAAUCAGACUGGUUCACUUGGUAUAGCUGCAAAAUAUUUCAAGGCUUGGAGGUUCAGUUGAUCAGCUAAAAAAACUAAAGUUGAAAUUUUUUGCAAGCUUCGUGUUGAAGGUAAAAAAUUAGCUUUGGUGGUUGGCACAAAAAUGUGUCACCCAUCACUACACAGCCGUACAUGUCUGCUAUGCAUGUGACAAGUAACAAAAAGUUAUUCUUUAAGUGCGAUAUAUUAUUUUUUAUAAUGUUCAUUUGUGGAUCACACAUACAGCAUAAAUAUAUGAAGCCAUGUCAUCUAGCAAGGAAAGGUUGUUAAUAUAUUAGCCACAGGAACUACUCAACAAACUGACUGCCUUUUUUAUCAUUACGAAAGCAGGUGACGUCAAGCGCUGCUGCUGCAGUCUCAACUCGUAUUUUUUUAACAUGAACGCAAAAAGUGGUCGCCAAUGGUGUCUGACCACAUCAGACUGAACAUGGCACAUAUGACUUUCAUAGAUGAGCAUGUUCCAGUUCUGAAACAGUGGUAGCAAACAACACCACAAGAAUUUGUUCAUACUCAUGUAGGUUUUCAGUCUGAAUUAUGAAGGUGUUUUCUACUUGCAUCAUCAUUGGGCUUCAGGGAGCAGGGCACAAAAUGUCCUGCUCCCUCUAUGUUGCAUUGCAAUGCGACAUGCCCUUUAAGAUGCUUUGUAUGAACAAUAUCAGUGCUCUUUCUGGAUUUACUGUCUACAUAAUAGCUGAUAUUUCUUUUUCUAAACUGCAUGGAACAUAUCUUUUAGCACUGCAGGAUUCCCUCACAUAUUUAUUACGUACAAGGUCUGUUAGAAAAGUAUUCGACCUUUUUUUGCGAACACCUGAUGAAUAUGAAACAAGCACGUUUUCAUCAGCCGCCCUUGAACCUUUGUGCGCAUGCACGAAUUUUUUCCCACCUGCCAAUAUCGUGAAUUGCUGAGACGCAGCGUUUGAAUGAGGUAGUACAGUGCUCUCGUCGGUUCUUUAUUGCAAGGAAAAUGGCAGAGCGACUGGAGCAGUGCUACUGCAUCAAAUUUUGCCAGAAACUGGGCGACAGCCAAGUGGAAACCAUCCGGAAGAUUCAGACUGCUUUCGGUGACUAUGCUAUGAGCAGCACACAGAUUAAGGAGUGGUACAACCAGUAUAAAGACGGCCACACAUCGGUUGAGAGCGAGCCACGCUCCAGUCGGCCAUCAACAUGCCGAAAUGACCAGGUCAUUGCCGAAGUGAACCCCGUGGUGAUGCGGGACCGUAGUGUAACUAUCCAAGAAAUUGCGGAAGAGGUGGGCAUCAGCACAUUUUAUCCACAUUCCAUUAUCACCGAAGAUUUGGCCAUGAAGAGAGUUGCGCCGAAAUUCGUUCCCAAGCUGCUCAUGGUGGAGCAAAAGCAACUUCGUGUUGAAGUCUCACAGACAUGCUGGAUUCCACAAACAGUGACCCCAACUUCAUGAACACCAUAAUCACUUGUGACAAGUCUUGGGUGUAUGUUUACGACCCGGAAACCAAAUCCCAGUCGUUACAGUGGAAGCAUUCCACACCAUAAUCACUUGUGACAAGUCUUGGGUGUAUGUUUACUUGGGUGUAUGUUUACGACCCGGAAACCAAAUCCCAGUCGUUACAGUGGAAGCAUUCCACACCAUAAUCACUUGUGACAAGUCUUGGGUGUAUGUUUACGACCCGGAAACCAAAUCCCAGUCGUUACAGUGGAAGCAUUCCACGUCGCCAACCAAAGACCGCUAAGUGUGCAGCAACGUCAAAGUGUUGCUGACUGCUUUCUUUGACUCCCGCAGUGUGGUACACCAAGGAUACACACCACAGGGUCAAACAAUCACUAAAGACUACUACAGGGAUGUCCUCCAUGGCCUAUGUGAUGCUGUAUGGAGCAUGAUACCGAAGUUGUCAACAGGAAAUUGGCACAUCUAUCACGACAAUGCUUUUCUCGCACUUGAUUCAGACUUUUUUGGCGAAAAACCAGACUCCUGUAGUUCGACAGGCUCCUUGCUCUCCUGAUAUGGCGGCCUGAACUUCUGGCUGUUUCCCGAAAUCAAGGGGCCAUUGAAACAAGCGUGAUUUCAGACAAGAGAAGACAUUAUGGCUGCAACGACAGCUGAGCUAAAGUCCAUUUGGAAAGAGGCCUUCUCGGAAUGCUUCUAACAAUGGCAGCACCGCUGGGAGGAAUGGCUGGAUUCCCAAGGAGACUAUUUUGAGGGUGAUUAAGUUUCCAACGCUUCAGUUAUGCCAGUUUUUUUUCUUCAGCCAAAGGUCGGAUACUCUUCUAACAGACCUCGUAUCGAUAUUUUAUGUGCAAUGGCUGUAUGGUUUGCCUGGCCCACACCAAACACAAGCCUCGUUGCAUUAGAGCAUGUGUCCCUUGGCAAUCAAAUGCAGACCCUAACACCGCUUCUUUGUCAUCCGUGUUGCAUACGAAGCCGACUUUGUCGUCUGCAUUCCCGGCCAGCAAGCUGUGCGCACCUCAGAGAAAAGUCGGUGCUGACAAAAUUUCAAAAAAGAAUUUCUCGCAUUUAAAAAUGCCUUUUUUAACUUCACACAUGCAAAGCAGACUUGUAGAGCUAUCCAAUAAUGUAUCACAUUUUUUCGCCAACUACGAAGGCUGUUUUUUCCUUGAACAUGAAGCUUCUUGCAAAAGAUUAGAAUUUUUUUUUACAGGCGAUCAACUGAACCUUCAGAGCUUCAUAUAUUUUUCUGCUAUACUAUGUCACCUGGGUCACCUAUGUCACCUAUGUCACCUAUUCUGUAUUUAAUUUCUGUCCUGUGAAUUUUUUCUGACGAAAAAAAAACUAACGGAUUGCAAUUUGACUCAUUUUUGCCGGUGCCAAAAGCAAUUGAAGUAUUCAAAUAUUUGAAAAAUUGGCUAUUUUGGCAGUUUCAUCACUUCACCGUAUUUCCACGCACACCAUUUGAAGGCCUCGAUCAAUACAAUGUGCAUUUGAAUAAAAAAAGUAUUUGAAGCAUUUGAAAAAAAAUGAAAAGCUAGAGGACAUUUGAUGUCCUCUAGCUCAGCUGAACAGGAAAACUAAACUGUCACCUAAAAUGCUACAAAAUAUCUGGCAAAAAUAAAUAAACUGGGUAACGAGCUUCGAAGUCUAGUAAACAUGUGGCAAUGUUUCAGAUAUAUGUGCGGUGUCAAAAAAAUGCUUGUCAAUUCGGCAUGGAAUCGUGUACCUGCAAGUGCAUCUGUGCCAUUUUUAGAGUUCAGUAAAAACGGCAUUUUACAUAACUUUGUAAAAAUGGUUUAUUGCUAUCUAAAAUACAUGAGUAAAAUUAAUAGGUAUAAGUCGGCUUAAAUUUAAUAUGCAACGAAACAUCUCCAGUAAUGGCGAUGAUGUGCCUUUUAUGUUUACAUAAAACCAUAUCUUCUGAAUUCUUUCGUUAUUUUUUGUGGCAGCGAAUAAAAUUGAAAUGGAACUCGCACAAGGAGCAAUUUUGCUGUAUUCCAGCACAUCUCUAAUAGCUGUCCUUGUUUCAUAUGAAAAUCUGAAGCGGUUAAUAUGAAUAAGUUGCUUGAUUUGGAAUUACCUGUGCAGGAACGUUAUCAUGGCAGAAAACACAACUGGAUCAUGCAACAGCAAUGCAGCAUAAUAAACUGCUCCCAUAAGCAUCACUUAUUGUGAUUGCCAUGUUUCAAAAGUAUGUAAGGUUUACUGAAAUUGGCGCACACCAUUCAACCAACAUAUAAGGAUUGUACAGUGAUCCUUUUUCAGUUUUACAGAUAUUUAAGUUGUCUGCCAGGUAGCAUAAUUCUUGUUCUUGAGCUGGAUUAUUCAGAGGUGGACAUUACUAGCACAAGAAAUGAAAACAUUAAACUGAUUGUCAUAAAUUUAUUAAUUCACUUAUAACAUCACAACACAUAUUUCAGUUUGCAAAUUGUAGCCAGUGAGUUUUCAAGACAUUCACUUGAAAUUAAUUUGCAAGAUGACACCAGUUUCGAAAUUUUUCCAUAAAUGUGAGAGAAAUACAUGGGCAUUCCAGUUACUUUUGUGCUUUGAUGCAUAACAGUGCGUUUUGUUAAAAAAAGUAAGUGCUACAGCAGUGCAUUUCUACAGCCAGUUUGAUGGCAUGUGUCUCGUUACUAGUGUCAUUCUGGAAAUUCAUUCUAAGUGCAUACACCUUGUAAAAUUACCGGCUACAAUUCGUAAAAACUUUAUUAGGAACUGAGUUUUUGUUAAUCAGCUGACUAUGGUGUCUUGUUUCUCAUGCAAGUAAUGUUUGUCACUCUGUAUCUAGAAUUAUGUUAGCUGCAACAGUCAGUCUUCAGUUCCAUGAAACUUAAAGAUAACCACCCUGCAUAUCAGGUCUCAGUUGAGUGCUGUGGGCACAAGCAAAUUGUGCCAUGGUUAUAGUACCACUGGCUACCUAAUAGAGAAAGCAAGUACCUUUUUUGAGUGUUCUUAUUUACAGUCAUGUCAGUCUGCUUGUACAUUUUUUUAUUUAGGCAUUUAUUUUUUAAAAUUUAUUUCUUUUGGUAAAUGUGUUUUACUUGAGAGCCACACUGACUACAUCUUCAGUAUUCAAUUUUGUUAUGGUGUCAAGCUGCAGGAAGUUUGUACUGUGCGAUAGUUUUUAAGAAGUUUCUGAUCUCAAACUACAAAUGGUUGUACAUUUACACAGAUGUGUGGUUACAAAUAAACAGUUCACCUAGAAAAA
Molecule: long non-coding RNA, 5991 nt
Organism: Dermacentor albipictus
Lineage: Eukaryota; Metazoa; Arthropoda; Arachnida; Ixodida; Ixodidae
Source: RefSeq, a predicted model, not a curated record